Molecule: ribosomal RNA, 468 nt
Filed under: uncultured bacterium
Lineage: Bacteria
Description: partial 16S ribosomal RNA
Rfam family: Bacterial small subunit ribosomal RNA
Source: RNAcentral
GACGAACGCUGGCGGCGUGCUUAACACAUGCAAGUCGAACGGAAAGGCCCUGCUUGUGUGGGGUGCUCGAGUGGCGAACGGGUGAGUAACACGUGAGUAACCUGCCCUUGACUUUGGGAUAACGUCAGGAAACUGGGGCUAAUACCGGAUAGGAGCUCCUGCUGCAUGUUGGGGGUUGGAAAGUUUCGGCGGUUGGGGAUGGACUCGCGGCUGAUCAGCUUGUUGGUGGGGUAGUGGCUUACCAAGGCUUUGACGGGUAGACGGCCUGAGAGGGUGACCGGCCACAUUGGGACUGAGAUACGGCCCAGACUCCUACGGGAGGCAGCAGUGGGGAAUAUUGCACAAUGGGCGGAAGCCUGAUGCAGCAACGCCGCGUGCGGGAUGACGGCAUUCGAGUUGUAAACCGCUUUCGCCUGUGACGAAGCGUGAGUGACGGUAAUGGGUAAAGAAGCACCGGCUAACUACGUG